GCAAACUUGGUCAUUUAGAGGAAGUAAAAGUCGUAACAAGGUUUCCGUAGGUGAACCUGCGGAAGGAUCAUUACUGUGGGUGCCGUUAAGGCGCCCGCUGAGAUAGAACCCCUUGUCUUUAAAGCACCGUCUGUUUCCUCGGCAGGUACCGCCUGCCAGCGAGGACCGCAACCAAACACUUUUGUAUUUGUAGUAAACGUAUUCACGAGAAAUCGAAAUUAAAACUUUCAACAACGGAUCUCUUGGUUCUGGCAUCGAUGAAGAACGCAGC
This 271-nucleotide unclassified non-coding RNA is filed under the name uncultured fungus. RNAcentral's name for it is "partial contains small subunit ribosomal RNA, internal transcribed spacer 1, and 5.8S ribosomal RNA". The stretch from base 1 to 73 matches the Rfam family "Eukaryotic small subunit ribosomal RNA", at positions 1759 to 1831 of the family's 1831-position model. Lineage: Eukaryota; Fungi. The record is from RNAcentral.